Leptonychotes weddellii (Weddell seal) is the source of this 1636-nucleotide non-coding RNA. The record is from RefSeq and is a predicted model, not a curated record. Lineage: Eukaryota; Metazoa; Chordata; Mammalia; Carnivora; Phocidae.
UUGUCAUCCUCACUAACUACUCCUGGCCUAAGAUAAACCACUGAGCUUCUCUGAGCCCAAGUAGUUCACCUGUGAAGUGAGGGAUUCUAACUUAUACCUAAAACCCAUUUAAUUUUCCGUGAUCCAGCUCCUUUUAUUAAGAACCUACUAGGCCUUCUGGACACACUGGAGGACAACAUAGAGGCAUUUCCUGCCCUGGUGGGGCUUACAACCUGAUCACUGACAAGCUUUCAAAGAGGCAUCUACAUGGCUGCACCCAUCCACAAACUGUUACUGCAUUCUGGCCAAUUGCAAGACAGUGGACAAUCACAAAUGUAAAUGGAUAAAGCGAUAUUUACAGUGUGCCAGGAGCUGUUCUAAGACUUUUCCCUCCUUGGCGUGUAACUCUUGGAGGCUCCAAACUAACACAAAGCUCUUGAAGGAUGAGCACACUUCUGCCCUGUCCCUGACAAAUAUCAGCAAUCCAGUCACCAAGAUCCAGAAGUCUUUUCUCAGGCCUCGGUCAUCACCUCCGGCACAAUGGUUCACCUGAAACCUUGGCUCCUUUGUUUCCUUCAAGGUAGAUCUUGUGGACUGAUUGUUUGUGCCUUCUCCAAAUUCCUUAUGUUGAAGCCCUAAUUCUGAGGGUGGUUAUAUUUGGAGAUGAGGCCUCUAAGAAAGCAAUCACAGUUAAAUGAGGUAAGAGGGUGGGGCCUUGGUCCAAUGGGAUCAGUGUCCUUACAAGCAGAGACACCAGAGAGCCCACCCCCACUCCACUGGGCUCAUGCAGCAAGGAAGAAAUGGCCAAGCAGCCAUCUGCAAGCCAGGAAGAGGGCUCCCACCAGAAACCAUAUUUGCUGGCUCCUUGGUCAUGACUUCCAACCUCUACAGCUACGAGAAAAUUAAUUUCUGUUGCCUCGGCCGGCCAGCCUGUGGUAUUGCACUGUGGAAGCCGUCACCGACUGAUAGAGUGGGAAAACCUAGUCCUCCGCCUGCCCUCCACUGCUUUGUCAGUUUUCCUUUCUCCUGUGGUCAGAAGUCUGCAAUGAGUGUGGGGCUAAAGUCUGCAAUGAGUGUGGGGCUAAAGUCUGCAUGUUGGCAGGGCUGGUUCCUUCUAAAGGCUCUAGGGGAGAAUUUGAAAAAAAAUAAAAGAGGAUGAUGUGUUGGAGGCCCGGGGGUGGUUCCCUGUGAGGAAGUGCCACUUGAGGUAAGAGCCGCCUGAGGAGGAAGCAGACACGUGGAGAGCUAAGGGGAGAGCGAGAGCGAGAGCGAGAGCGAGAGGGAGAGGGAGAGCCUGGAGGUAGAAAUAGCUUCGUGUAUUGGUUUCCUGUUGCUGCUAUAAUAAGUUACCACAAACUUGGUGGCUUAAAAUAGCACAAAUUUACUAUCUUACAGAUAGAACUGCUUAUUUGUUUCCUUCUUUAACGUCUUUGUGUAACUUCCUUCCAGAAUAUAAACUUCAUGAAGCCAAGGGCCUUGUAGGUCUCACUCCCAGCCAUAUCCUCCGAGACUAAAGCACUGAGAUCAAAUAUUUGUUGGAUAAUUCUCUAACUGAAUGCAAAAAUUAUGGGGUAAACUGCUUGAUGUGACAGAAAAAUUAAAUGUUAGAAUAUGAUGUCAUGUUCAAAUGAAGAAAAGCAUGGUACAAAAUUAUAUA